Sapajus apella (tufted capuchin) is the source of this 6062-nucleotide long non-coding RNA. RefSeq lists it as uncharacterized. The transcript is spliced from 3 exons. Lineage: Eukaryota; Metazoa; Chordata; Mammalia; Primates; Cebidae. The record is from RefSeq and is a predicted model, not a curated record.
CCUGCUGGCUGAGUCCUCCCCAGUCCCCGCCCCGUUUGCCCAUUUUCCAGAAAAUCAGAGCAUAACCCGUUCUAACCCGAUUCCCUGCUUUGUUGUGUUGUCUGCCCUCCUCCGACGCUUGGGAAACCGUUUGUUCUGUGGCUUCUCCUGAGGAGACGGAGAAUUUUCAGGGCUUGAAUAGGUCUCGCAGAAAGGUGAAGAAGCCAAAAGCAAAUGAAGACAACUACAGGGAAGUUCACAAAGGCCGGGAGAGAUAAGAGCCUUCCAAGUUAAGGAACCAUAAAUCUUCAGUUAUGAUCUGGCUGUUUCUCCAAGCAGCAAGCUAGCAGGGAAACCUCAAAGGGCCUGAGCCUAUGAUUCCUAUGGCCCUAUGACACUAUUGUCUCCCUGUCCCCGGCUCCAAGUGCAUUGAAUCAUGAGAGGAAAUUGUCACUGUUCAGCAUUGGCUCUUCUGACUUGAUAUUGUGCUGCAUGAUGAAUUGAUGCUGUUGGGAAGACAGGUAUGUAGAGCAUUUUAAGCCACUAAGGUAUGUGAACUAAAUCUACAACUCACCUCUUAGGAACAACUACCUGAGGAUAAGGCUCUUUCAGAAAAUAUAAGCAUUGGUGACAAAUUCACUCAACAGAUUGCUGCACCUUGUUUUAGAAAAUGCUUCUAGUGGUAGCAAAACAAUCCACAUGAGGAUUUAUGAAGAUGCACCUGAUCCUUGAUUUGGGAAGAGGCGAGAGAGCCAAUGUCCGUCUACCAUGGUUCACCCAUGCAAACUUUCUUGUUCUCCUACUGUAUCACCCAGGCACUGACCAAAGUCCUGGGCACACUUCAUUAAACAUGGUACCUGCUCUUGAAGAAUUCUCAGUCUAACAGGAGAGAAGUGUGUGCAAACCGAUGGUUAAAAUGCAUCACAGUGGUUAAAAUGCAUCACAGCAUUAGGUGCUGUAGAGAGGAAUGGGCAAAGCGUUGUUAGAUCACAGAAGGAGUGACUAGCUAUGCAGCUUCUUCCAGACUCAGCUUGGGAAUCAUCCCAGUUCCACUGCUGUACUCACCUGCUCUCUGCUUACUUUCCACAUGACACUGGUAGUUUCUGCUCCUGUGUCUCUCUCCCGAGCAGCAAGCCUUCAAGAAAGGGUUGCUCAGCUUUGGUGUUAUUGACAUUUUGGGCCAAGUGUUUGAUGAUAGGGAGGGGAAGCCGUCCUGUGCAUUGUAGAAGGUUUAACAUCAUCCCUGACCUCUACCCGGGAUCCUUGCCCUCUGUGUGCCAGUAGUAUCCACACCACACACAUACACACGGACACAGACAUGUACAACACACACACACACACACACACCACACUUUUUAUGGUAAUCAAAAAUAUCUACAGACUUUGCCAAAUCUCCCCUAGGCAGCAAAAUCAUCCCGUUGAGAAUCCCUGCUUUAAGCUGUUCCAGGACAGCAAUGACAUUUUCUUCAUCUCUGCAUCCCUGGUGCCCAGGACAUUUCUGUCACUAUGAAGCAGACAGAACAUGGCUUGGAGGCAUGAGGGAAGCCUUAAAUAAGAGACUUAUCUGAUUGGAAGGAUAAAAAGAAAUCAUCUAGGUCAGUACUCUCCUAUAGAACUUUCUGUGAUGAUGGAAGUGUUCUAUGGCUGUACUUUCCAAUACAGUGGCCACUAUGUGUGGCCUUUGAAUACUUGAAAUAUAUGACUUAUAUGACUGAGGAGCUAAACUUAUUUCAUUAUAAUUACUUUAAAUGUACAUUUCAAAGGCUCCAUGUGAGUUGAGGCUCCAUCUUAGAUAGCACAGCUCAAGCACUGUGUGGCCUGGCCCAGUGUAAGCACUACUCAUCAAAUGCAAGUUUGGUUUUCAGUAGAUUCCCGGAUGAUUAAAUAUAUAUUUAUACUUCCAGUCUUUCUGACCAUUAUCCGAGCCUAAAGCUAUUUAUUUUGGAAUAAAUUUCCAUGCUUCAUUCUAAAGAGAUAAUAAAAGAAGCUGAUCCUACCCACUGUAAAGCAACCAGGGAUGCCAUUAUUGAGGGGCUUGAAGACAGAUGCUGAUGAAAUUCUUAGAAUCACGCCAUUUAUUUAAAAGUAGCCCAUUUGGCUAUCUAUGCUUCCAUGCAUUUAUCUAAAUAAUGUGUAUUGAGGGCCUACCAGGUGCUAUUGUUCAAUGGGAUCACAAAAAAAUAUGCAAAACAGCCAGAGAGAAAAAUGUAGAAAAAACUGCUGCAUUGUUAGAAGAAUAGGAAUGGAAUUGUGUGUGUGGUACAGGCAGGAUACAGAGAAGGGAGAUUCUAAGUGCCUGAAAUGGCUUGACAGCAGAGCUGACACUGAGCUGAGCUUGAAGUGAAAAUUAGCUGAGAGUCAGUUUCCUAAACGUAUCUGAACAUCCACCACAUGCACACCCCAGAAUCACCUGGAGGCUUGUUAAAAAAUAAAUUUUCAAGCUUCUUCCCUGGAAAUUCUUAGUAUAGAAACUUUGCAGUUUUAGCAAGCAUCCCAGGCAAAUAUAGGAAAUGGGUAUUAGGAGAACGGGGCCAAUAAUUCCCCUGUGCUGAUAGGAACAGUGCCAAAGUCCUGAUAAUGUUUCUGAUAGCUAAAAUGUAUCAGUAUAUUACAUUUGCCAUAUAAAUAUAAAGUCAGGAAUUUGAAAAAUAAAAGAACGAAAGAGAAACAAAAACUACCCGUACUUUUCACCAUUUAGACCUAAUCAUUGAUAUUUUCCAUAAAUAUUCUGCUUGUCUUUUUGUGUACACUCUCGUGCACUCAUACAAAAUUGGAAGAAUGCUAUACCUAUUUCAUUUUUCACAUACACUUUUUUAUCUUACAAUAGUUUAGAGUUAAAGAAAAGUUGCAAAGAUAGGACAGUUUUCCUAUUAUUAAUGUCUUACAUUAGUACGAGCCUUUGUAACAGUUAAUGUGCCAAUAUUUAUAUGUUUUUGUUAUCAAAAAUUCAUGCUUCAUUCAGAUUUCCUUAACUAUUAUCCAUUAUUCUUAUUCUAUUCCAAGAUUGGAUCUAAGAUAUCAUAUUGUGUUUCAUUAUCAUGUCUCCUUAGAUCUAUCUUGGUUGUGACAGUUUUUCAUUCUUUUCUUGUUUUUCUUGACCUUGACAGUUUUGGGGAAUAUUGGUCAGGUAUUUUGUAGACUUUCCUUAAACUGAUAUUUUUCUCAUGGUUAGAUUGGAGUUGUCUGUUUUUGCUUGAAUGAUAAUUUUAAGUUUGGUUUUAAAUUACAGAAAAAACAAAAGAAUAAUAAGACAAAGAUGCACAUAUCAUCAGUCCAGAAUUGACAGUUAUCAUUUUUGUAUUUGAUUUAUUAAAAAAAAAACUAAUAGAAUAGAGAUCAAAUUCCCUUUAUUGAGUGUCCUUACCUAUAAUUUCACAACCCUCCCUGCCUCAUAGAUGCAACCAUUGUCAUGAAUUUAGUGUGCAAUCUUCAAUUUCCACUUUUUCCUUUUAUAUGUAUGUACAGCAUACCUAUAAAACCAGGAAAAUAUGUGGUAUUUACAUGUAUUUUAAUUUUGGUCCAUGAAUGACAUUGUAAUGACAUCAGACCAACUGGUUCAACUUUUAUGUGACAAAGUUGUGAGUUGUUUUCAGUUGCCAUGGACCCCCAGGUUAAAGGGCACAUAAUCUGAGCAUGCCCAGAUGAACCAAAUGUGCAACCACAAGGGGAAACUAAGCGCUGGCAUGGAGGUUCAGGACUGAAUUAAGCAGCAGCAGACACCACAUGGCAGCAUCCAGCCAGAGCAUGCAUCCUGGCCUUGCCUCACUGCCAGAUCCAAUCAGAUCACGCCUCAUUACCCAUUUUAAAAUCUGGCCCACCCCCAGAUCAAGGAGGCAGAUUUGAGCAUUUCCUCCUCUCCUGUGGCCAGUGGACUUGCAAUAAACCUUUCUCAGAGUAAAAACCCAGUGCUUUGGUGUUGGCUAUCCACUGCAUUUGGGCCUAUGGACCUCGUUUGUUUCAGUGACAGCAUCAUGUACCCGUCAUUCUUUAACCUGAUUUUUUUUCACUUAACAUUGUAUUUGAUAGCUAUUCAUGUAGAUCUAUGUAGUCCAAGCGGAUCAUUUCUUUUCAUUGCUAUAUGCUAUUCUGUAGUAUGCCUACAGUAUAGUUUAUCCAUUUCCUUCUUAUAGACAGGUGCAAGAGAUUCUCUAAAGUAUAAACUUAAGGUAGCAUUGCUGGCUUAUAGGAUAUGGGCUUCCAGAUAUGACUGAAGCGGUUCAUGCUCCUAGCAGCACUGUUUAAGCAAUUGUUUCUCUGCGUUCUCAACAACAAUUAUUAUUGACAGAUAGUUUAAUUUUUUCCAAACUUUUAAGAGUGAAAUUAAAUCUCACUGGUAUUUUAUUUUUAAUUUUCCUUAGUACUACUGGUGAACUUGAGUAUCAUCUUAGAUACGUUAGUGAAUUGCUUGUUCAUUUUUGGGGGCCCUUUUUUCUACUGGAUGUUUUUGUCUGUUUCUCUUACUAAUAUAAGUGGUUUUUUGUUUUUGUUUUUGCAUAUUUGGGUUAACCAUCAUUUUCCUGUUGUGUAUGUUACACAUAUACUGUUUUACCCUAAGGUUUGUCUUUUAGCAUUACUAUUGUCCCAAUUGUCAUUCAGAAGUUUGCCUUUAACAAAGUCAUCAGUCUUUUCUGUAUAAUUGGUACUUUUUUCUAUAUUGCUUAAGAAAUUUUCCCCUAAGAUAAAAGGAAUUCCCUAAGAUAUAGGGAAUAUCUUAAAGAUAUUCCUUAUAUUUUCUUCUAGUUGUUGCAAUUUUUUCUUUUUCAUGUUUAAGUCUUUUAGCUACAUGAAGUCUCUUUUUGUUUUUUAUGUGAACUAGGGAUCUAAUUUUCUUCCUACAUGAAGCCUAGCUAUCCCAGCAUCUUUUAUUAAAUAGUUCAUCCUUUCAAGUGUAAUGCCAGUUCUACUAAAUGUCAUGUCCAUAUAUGCAGUGAUUUGUUUUUGGUAUGUCUAAUCUGUUCAUCUGACCUUUUAUCUGUGAUUCAGCCCAAACCACAGUUUUCUUAGUUAGCUUUAUAGUAAAUUCUGAUACCUGGUAGAAUAAGUAACCCUUUCUUGUUAUUCUUUUUCAGAGAUGUAUCAGAUAUUUUUGGACCUUUGUUCUGCCACAGAAAUUUUAACAUGUUUAUAAAGUUUUAUGGGAAACCAUGUUAGGAUUUAUUUUGGAAUUGCAUUGAAAUUAUAGAUGCAUUCGAGGGAGGAUUACCACCUUUACCAUAUUGAAUCUUCCUAUUCAUGAGCACAGUUUACCUGUCCAUUUAUUAAGAACUUCUCAUAUGUUCUUCAAUAAAGUUUUAAAAUUUUCUCAGCAAAAAAAAUUUACGAAUGUUUUAUUUAUGAUUAGGCUUGAAAUUAUUUUUAUUACUAAAUAAGAUUUUUUUCAACUUUUGUGUAAAUACUUGCUUGUUAGGAAUGCUAUUGAUUUUUGAAGGCAGUUUUAUAUGAUUUAAGUGUUGAAAAUUUUUAUUCGUUCUGAAUGAUUUCUUAGAAUUUACAGACACCAUACCAUGAAGACAUAGUGAUAAUUUUGUCUCUUUUUUUUUACUGCGCUAUCCCCAUUGCUUUAUUGAUUAGAACCUCUGGCAUAGUAUUGAUAAUAGCUGUGAUAAAGGAUAUCUUUGGCUUGUUCCUGACUUUCUGGGAAAAUCAUCUAAAACUAAGUUGAUGACAUAUGAUAAAAUUUAUUAUAUGAUAUAGGUUUUUGUUAGAUGUCUUUUUUCAUGCCAAAGAUAAUUGAGUUGCCUAUUAUUUAUAGCAUGUUAGAAAUUUUCUUUGUACAUCACAAAUAAGUACUAAACUUUUCUGAAUUCUUGGUCUGUACCUGUUAUAGUAGUUAUAUGGAUUGGCUCUUAAUUUGCUAUGUGGUAAAUUACACUGAUACACUUUCUAAAGUUAAACUUGUGCGUUCCUGGAAUAAACCAUUUUAGUCUUAUUUUUAAAACCUGUUUUUCUAUGCUGCUAAACUGGAUUUCCUAAUAUUUUACUUAGAUUUUUUUACAUUGUUGUUUACAAGUGACUUGGCAUGUAGUUUUCUUUUUUAUACUUUCUUUACUGAUUUUGGAAUUAAAUUAUAUUGUCUCAUAAAA